AUUGAACGCUGGCGGCAGGCCUAACACAUGCAAGUCGAACGGUAACAGGAAACAGCUUGCUGUUUCGCUGACGAGUGGCGGACGGGUGAGUAAUGUCUGGGAAACUGCCUGAUGGAGGGGGAUAACUACUGGAAACGGUAGCUAAUACCGCAUAACGUCGCAAGACCAAAGAGGGGGACCUUCGGGCCUCUUGCCAUCGGCUGUGCCCAGGUGGGAUUAGCUAGUAGGUGGGGUAACGGCUCACCUAGGCGACGAUCCCUAGCUGGUCUGAGAGGAUGACCAGCCACACUGGAACUGAGACACGGUCCAGACUCCUACGGGAGGCAGCAGUGGGGAAUAUUGGACAAUGGGCGCAAGCCUGAUGCAGCCAUGCCGCGUGUAUGAAGAAGGCCUUCGGGUUGUAAAGUACUUUCAGCGGGGAGGAAGGGAGUAAAGUUAAUACCUUUACUCAUUGACGUUACCCGCAGAAGAAGCACCGGCUAACUCCGUG
Molecule: ribosomal RNA, 490 nt
Filed under: uncultured bacterium
Lineage: Bacteria
Description: partial 16S ribosomal RNA
Rfam family: Bacterial small subunit ribosomal RNA
Source: RNAcentral